GAUGAACGCUAGCGGCAGGCUUAACACAUGCAAGUCGAGGGGCAGCAUAAUGGUAGUAAUACUAUUGAUGGCGACCGGCGGACGGGUGCGUAACGCGUAUGCAACCUACCCUUUACAGGGGGAUAACACUGAGAAAUCGGUACUAAUACCCCAUAAUAUUCUGGGAGGCAUCUUUCGGAGUUGAAAGCUUUGGUGGUAAAGGAUGGGCAUGCGUUGUAUUAACUAGUUGGUAAGGUAACGGCUUACCAAGGCGACGAUACAUAGGGGGACUGAGAGGUUAACCCCCCACAUUGGUACUGAGACACGGACCAAACUCCUACGGGAGGCAGCAGUGAGGAAUAUUGGUCAAUGGACGGAAGUCUGAACCAGCCAUGCCGCGUGCAGGAAGACGGCUCUAUGAGUUGUAAACUGCUUUUGUACGAGGGUAAACGCAGAUACGUGUAUCUGCCUGAAAGUAUCGUACGAAUAAGGAUCGGCUAACUCCGUGCCAGCAGCCGCGGUAAUACGGAGGAUCCAAGCGUUAUCCGGAUUUAUUGGGUUUAAAGGGUGCGUAGGCGGUUUAGUAAGUCAGCGGUGAAAUUUUGGUGCUUAACACCAAACGUGCCGUUGAUACUGCUGGGCUAGAGAGUAGUUGCGGUAGGCGGAAUGUAUGGUGUAGCGGUGAAAUGCUUAGAGAUCAUACAGAACACCGAUUGCGAAGGCAGCUUACCAAACUAUAUCUGACGUUGAGGCACGAAAGCGUGGGGAGCAAACAGGAUUAGAUACCCUGGUAGUCCACGCAGUAAACGAUGAUAGCUCGUUGUCGGCGAUACACAGUCGGUGACUAAGAGAAAUCGAUAAGCUAUCCACCUGGGGAGUACGUUCGCAAGAAUGAAACUCAAAGGAAUUGACGGGGGCCCGCACAAGCGGAGGAACAUGUGGUUUAAUUCGAUGAUACGCGAGGAACCUUACCCGGGCUUGAAAGUUACUGACGAUUCUGGAAACAGGAUUUCCCUUCGGGGCAGGAAACUAGGUGCUGCAUGGUUGUCGUCAGCUCGUGCCGUGAGGUGUCGGGUUAAGUCCCAUAACGAGCGCAACCCCUACUGAUAGUUGCCAUCAG
RNAcentral lists this ribosomal RNA (1099 nucleotides) under uncultured bacterium. RNAcentral's name for it is "bacterial SSU rRNA". It matches the Rfam family "Bacterial small subunit ribosomal RNA", at positions 28 to 1124 of the family's 1533-position model. The record is from RNAcentral.